Dallia pectoralis (Alaska blackfish) is the source of this 71-nucleotide non-coding RNA. NCBI's taxonomy places the organism in Eukaryota, Metazoa, Chordata, Actinopteri, Esociformes, Umbridae. The record is from the annotation of a GenBank genome assembly.
GCUGGUGUAUCUCAGUGGUAGAGUGCAUGCUUUAUGUGUAUGACGUCCUGGGUUUAAUCCCCAGCUUAUCC